UGGGGAAUAUUGGACAAUGGGCGCAAGCCUGAUCCAGCCAUGCCGCGUGAGUGAUGAAGGCCCUAGGGUUGUAAAGCUCUUUCACCGGUGAAGAUAAUGACGGUAACCGGAGAAGAAGCCCCGGCUAACUUCGUGCCAGCAGCCGCGGUAAUACGAAGGGGGCUAGCGUUGUUCGGAUUUACUGGGCGUAAAGCGCACGUAGGCGGACUUUUAAGUCAGGGGUGAAAUCCCGGGGCUCAACCCCGGACUGCCUUUGAUACUGGAAGUCUUGAGUAUGGUAGAGGUGAGUGGAAUUCCGAGUGUAGAGGUGAAAUUCGUAGAUAUUCGGAGGAACACCAGUGGCGAAGGCGGCUCACUGGACCAUUACUGACGCUGAGGUGCGAAAGCGUGAGGAGCAAACAGG
Molecule: ribosomal RNA, 403 nt
Filed under: Actinomycetes bacterium
Lineage: Bacteria; Bacillati; Actinomycetota; Actinomycetes
Description: Actinobacteria bacterium partial 16S ribosomal RNA
Rfam family: Bacterial small subunit ribosomal RNA
Source: RNAcentral